UCCAAGCUCUUAUGUUUGCUACCUUUACAG
Molecule: non-coding RNA, 30 nt
Filed under: Rattus norvegicus (Norway rat)
Lineage: Eukaryota; Metazoa; Chordata; Mammalia; Rodentia; Muridae
Source: RNAcentral